This 253-nucleotide ribosomal RNA is filed under the name uncultured bacterium. RNAcentral describes it as "partial 16S ribosomal RNA". It matches the Rfam family "Bacterial small subunit ribosomal RNA", at positions 524 to 776 of the family's 1533-position model. The record is from RNAcentral.
UACGUAGGGUGCAAGCGUUGUCCGGAAUUAUUGGGCGUAAAGGGCUCGUAGGCGGUCCGUCACGUCGGGAGUGAAAACUUGGGGCUUAACCCCAAGCCUGCUUCCGAUACGGGCGGACUAGAGGUAGGCAGGGGAGAACGGAAUUCCUGAUGUAGCGGUGAAAUGCGCAGAUAUCAGGAGGAACACCGGUGGCGAAGGCGGUUCUCUGGGCCUUACCUGACGCUGAGGAGCGAAAGCGUGGGGAGCGAACAGG